Molecule: ribosomal RNA, 492 nt
Filed under: uncultured bacterium
Lineage: Bacteria
Description: partial 16S ribosomal RNA
Rfam family: Bacterial small subunit ribosomal RNA
Source: RNAcentral
AGUGAACGCUGGCGGUAGGCCUAACACAUGCAAGUCGAACGGCAGCACAGUAAGAGCUUGCUCUUACGGGUGGCGAGUGGCGGACGGGUGAGGAAUACAUCGCAAUCUACUUUUUCGUGGGGGAUAAAGUAGGGAAACUUACGCUAAUACCGUCUACGACCUACGGGUGAAAGCAAGGGAUCUUCGGACCUUGCGCGAUCUCAUGAGCCGAUGUCGGCUUAGCGAGGUGGCGGGGUAAAGGCCCACCAAGGCGAAGACGCGUAGCUGGUCUGAGCGGCUGAAGAGCCACUCUGGGACUGAGACGCGGCCCAGACACCGACGGGAGGAAGCAGUGGGGAAGAUUGGACAAUGGGCGCAAGCCUGAACCAGCCAUACCGCGUGGGUGAAGAAGGCCUUCGGGUUGUAAAGCCCUUUUGUUGGGAAAGAAAAGCAGCAGGUUAAUACCCCGCUGUUCUGACGGUACCCAAAGAAUAAGCACCGGCUAACUACGUG